UACGUAGGGGGCAAGCGUUGUCCGGAAUCAUUGGGCGUAAAGCGCGUGUAGGCGGCUCGAUAAGUCUGCUGUGAAAGUCCAGGGCUCAACCCUGGGAUGCCGGUGGAUACUGUCGAGCUCGAGUCCGGAAGAGGCGAGUGGAAUUCCUGGUGUAGCGGUGAAAUGCGCAGAUAUCAGGAGGAACACCAAUGGCGAAGGCAGCUCGCUGGGACGUGACUGACGCUGAGGAGCGAAAGCGUGGGGAGCGAACAGG
RNAcentral lists this ribosomal RNA (253 nucleotides) under uncultured bacterium. Its description in RNAcentral is "partial 16S ribosomal RNA". It matches the Rfam family "Bacterial small subunit ribosomal RNA", at positions 524 to 776 of the family's 1533-position model. The record is from RNAcentral.